This is an RNA transcript of Juglans regia (Persian walnut), 749 nucleotides long. RefSeq lists it as uncharacterized. The record is from RefSeq and is a predicted model, not a curated record. The transcript is spliced from 2 exons. Lineage: Eukaryota; Viridiplantae; Streptophyta; Magnoliopsida; Fagales; Juglandaceae.
UUAUUUCCACCAAAUCUAGAGGUCAGAGUUGCAACAUGUAGCAGUCAACAUUGAGCACAUGAUCCCACUGACAUCACUUCCCCUACUACUCAAGAUAUUACUGAUAUUUAAGUAAGGAAGUGAGCUAUAAAUCAAAGACUGCCAUACCAUCUUAAUCACAGGUUUGAAAAAAGCCAUCUUCAGUUCACUCCCAUAGAAAACAAGCAAGACACCAUAAACCAUGAAGGCCUGGUCUAGAGCAAUGGCUGCUCUCACUUUUGCACUUUCACUGCUAUCCUUAUUGUGGCCUGGUGGAGCUAAAGGAGACAACCGCCAGUUAACAAAAGGAUCUUCCUUCUCGGGAUCAUCCUCUCAGGCUCUCAAAGAUUUGCAAGGGGACAGGAAGAAUCCUUAUAAGCAGGUGGACUCAUGCUUUCGAAAGAUACCUCCAUCAACUUCGAAUCCCAUACAGAACAAGUAAUUCCUGCCACCAAUGGUCCAAUCCUCCGUCUACCGGCUGAGAAAGUACAGAACAAGGAUUAGUGGAAUCUAGACAGAAUCAAGUUUUAUUUUUCUUUCAUUCGCAAUGUAUUACUUUUCUAAGACUCCAAGAAAGGUUAUAAGUUUUUGUUAGAGGUAUAAUGCAUUCACAGUUGUUUUUGCCAACACGGGCUGUGGAUUAAUGUUCUCAACUGAGAAUGUUCAGUAUCUGGAUGUGUGAUUAGAAUAACUCCUGUGUUUAACUUCGAGUUCAAAAGCAAAUAGCUCAA